This 876-nucleotide long non-coding RNA is filed under the name Lathyrus oleraceus (garden pea). RNAcentral describes it as "Pisum sativum (pea) long non-coding RNA (PSAT_LNC012390)". Lineage: Eukaryota; Viridiplantae; Streptophyta; Magnoliopsida; Fabales; Fabaceae. The record is from RNAcentral.
UCAUGCUUUGGAAUUGCCUUGAAACCAUAUCCAAUAUCACUGGUCUAUAAACCUACAAUGAAUCAAAAGGGAUAGACCAUUCAAAACACCCACCAAUUACAAUAGCAAGCCCUAAGGACAAUGAAAACUAGUAGUUCAUGCUCAUAAGUGCAAGCCAUCGACACUGACCUGAGCUCACUUGCAGCAGACACAGUAUUAAUGGAUAGUCCAAAGCACUAAACGUAUGGCCAUGUACCUAUCUUCUCAUUUUAGCAACCUGGUAUGCAUUAAAACACCUUUCAGCAUGACAUUCAAGAAAACCAUUAGGACACAAAAACAAAGGACAAACAUCCUAUAGUGACAUUCUACACAUAACAUUCCAUAAUAAACCUCAAGCCAAUCACCAAUAGAUUUUCAUCCCAAUAUCUAGUUAUAUACAAACAAUACACAUGCACAACAGUCUAGCUAUUAUGGGGAAGCCCUGUCAUUCACAUCUCAACCAAACCUUAUAGCUGCUGAACCUGGCAGAACAACAUAGUCGUAACACAUUUCAAACAAAGCCUUUUCAUCACCUUUCCAUCAUGAUGUCAAAUUUCUAAACAAAUGCACAAACCAUGUUUAUUUCAAUAUGCAUAACAUUAACCACAUGACUUGGAAAAUAUAUGACCUUAACCGCAUUACAACACACACAAAAGCACAUCUGAAGUAUAUCUCUAUAGACCAUAUUAUAACAUGGACCAACCAUUCAUACAUCAAGGCCAAACACAAUGACAAACUCAAGCCCAAACUAGAGUACAUUGAGCAGUGUCUGGCCACAACCUGUAUAACAUCCACAAACAUAGCCUCCAUCCAAAGACAUAGCAGCCAAUCCAAAGUAACUUUCAACAAGUGAUUAAU